GAGGCGUACUCAGCGCUUGUGACUUUGCCCUACUAGUGUGUGCGUUCGCGUGCACUCAUAGAGGGCGUUUACUGUGAGAAAAUUAGAGUGUUCAAAGCAGGCGUUUCGCUCGAAUACGUUAGCAUGGAAUAAUAGAAUAGGACGAGGGUUCUAUUUUGUUGGUUCUAGGACCGUCGUAAUGAUUAAUAGGGAUGGUCGGGGGCAUCAGUAUUCAGUAGUAAGAGGUGAAAUUCUUGGAUUUACUGAAGACUAACUGCUGCGAAAGCGUUUGCCAAGGACAUCUUCAUUAAUCAAGAACGAAAGUUAGGGGAUCGAAGACGCUUAGAUACCGUCGUAGUCUUAACCGUAAACUAUGCCGACUCUGAAUCGGCCUCUUGAACUUUAUGGGAGGUCGGCGCAGUGUGAGAAAUCAAAGUUUUUAGGUUCUGGGGGGAGUAUGGUCGCAAGGCUGAAACUUAAAGGAAUUGACGGAAGGGCACCACCAGGAGUGGAGCCUGCGGCUUAAUUUGACUCAACACGGGGAAACUCACCAGGUCCAGACUUCUGUAGGAUUGACGCAUUGGCGAUGCUUCAUGAUUAGAAGGGUGGUGGUGCAUGGCCGUUCUUAGUUCGUGACGUAAGUUGUCUGCUUUAUUGCGAUAACGAGCGAGACCUCGGCCGCUAGUUGCCGGAACCCAUCUUGUAUGGGCUUCCGGCUCUUAGCGGGACUACCGG
Molecule: ribosomal RNA, 714 nt
Filed under: uncultured eukaryote
Lineage: Eukaryota
Description: SSU rRNA
Rfam family: Eukaryotic small subunit ribosomal RNA
Source: RNAcentral